This 492-nucleotide ribosomal RNA is filed under the name uncultured bacterium. RNAcentral describes it as "partial 16S ribosomal RNA". It matches the Rfam family "Bacterial small subunit ribosomal RNA", at positions 29 to 507 of the family's 1533-position model. The record is from RNAcentral.
AGUGAACGCUGGCGGUAGGCCUAACACAUGCAAGUCGAACGGCAGCACAGUAAGAGCUUGCUCUUACGGGUGGCGAGUGGCGGACGGGUGAGGAAUACAUCGGAAUCUACUUUUUCGUGGGGGAUAACGUAGGGAAACUUACGCUAAUACCGCAUACGACCUACGGGUGAAAGCAGGGGAUCUUCGGACCUUGCGCGAUUGAAUGAGCCGAUGUCGGAUUAGCUAGUUGGCGGGGUAAAGGCCCACCAAGGCGACGAUCCGUAGCUGGUCUGAGAGGAUGAUCAGCCACACUGGAACUGAGACACGGUCCAGACUCCUACGGGAGGCAGCAGCGGGGAAUAUUGGACAAUGGGCGCAAGCCUGAUCCAGCCAUGCCGCGUGGGUGAAGAAGGCCUUCGGGUUGUAAAGCCCUUUUGUUGGGAAAGAAAAGCAGCAGGUUAAUACCCCGCUGUUCCGACGGUACCCAAAGAAUAAGCACCGGCUAACUUCGUG